CGGACGGGUGAGUAAUGUCUGGGGAAACUGCCCCGAUGGAGGGGGAUAACUACUGGAAACGGUAGCUAAUACCGCAUAACGUCGCAAGACCAAAGAGGGGGACCUUCGGGCCUCUUGCCAUCGGAUGUGCCCAGAUGGGAUUAGCUAGUAGGUGGGGUAACGGCUCACCUAGGCGACGAUCCCUAGCUGGUCUGAGAGGAUGACCAGCCACACUGGAACUGAGACACGGUCCAG
Molecule: ribosomal RNA, 234 nt
Filed under: uncultured bacterium
Lineage: Bacteria
Description: partial 16S ribosomal RNA
Rfam family: Bacterial small subunit ribosomal RNA
Source: RNAcentral